This 475-nucleotide small RNA is filed under the name Bos taurus (domestic cattle). Lineage: Eukaryota; Metazoa; Chordata; Mammalia; Artiodactyla; Bovidae. The record is from RNAcentral.
GGAGUAUGUGUUGGGGGAUCUAACAAGGGCAUGACCUAGACUGGUUCAGGGCCGGGGAUGUGAUAUGGAUACAGGAGUGUUUGUUGGGGUCUUAAACAAGGGCAGGACCCAGCCUAGUUUAGUGCAGGGACUGAGAUGUGCGCUCAGCAGUAUGUGUUGGUGGAUCUAACAAGGGCAUGACCUAGACUGGUUCAGUGCAUGAACCAAGAUGUAGGUUCAGGAGUAUUUGUCGGGGUCUUGAACAAGGGCAGGACCCUGGCGGGUUCAGGGCAGGGAGUGAGAUGUGGGAUCAGGAGUGUUUUCUGGGGGAUUGAACAAGAGCAAGACAGACCUAAUUUCAGGGGCAGGGAGCGAGUUGUGGGCUCACGGUUGUUUGCCGGAGGCUUGAACAAAGGCAGGACUCAGCCUGCUUCAGUGCGGGGACUGAGAUGUGGGCUCAGGUGUAUGUGUUAGAUUCCCCCAACACAUACACCUG